This 1273-nucleotide ribosomal RNA is filed under the name Triticum aestivum (bread wheat). Its description in RNAcentral is "partial small subunit ribosomal RNA". Lineage: Eukaryota; Viridiplantae; Streptophyta; Magnoliopsida; Poales; Poaceae. The record is from RNAcentral.
AAAAAAUACUGGUCAGUUACUAGUUACCGGACGAGCUCGUAAGCUCUGCCUAUGCCUUCUGCGCCUACAUUUACGAGAAUCGGUGGCAGGGUUGGCCCGUUGUGUUUCAGAACGAAGUCAGACGCGGAUCAGGAUCGUCCAGCGCUUAAAGCGGCCAAGAUAACAACAAGAGAUUAAUAGAAGCUCGUCUAGUGAUCGUCCGUGGCUGCCUAAACCUCGUCGAGACUAGAAAUCGCCGGUACCAGUUCUUUCCUUAGGUCAUACAGCACCACCUACGGAAGUGCCGGGUCGGCAAGUUCCCGUUGGGCCGCCGCCACACGAAGGACCUCCUGCUGCGCCGGCGGGGGCGCCCCCUGCCCGCCACCUACGUCAGGCAGCGGCAGCUCAAGUUGGAGAGGGUCUGCCGGAAGAAGAGGGCACUGAGCAGGACGCGUCGGCUGCGGUGGUGCGGCGCCAAGGUGGAGGCGACCAAGUGGGGGCAGUGGCUCCAGCGCGAGACGCCGGUGCGUUGCGACCGGUGGCGGGUGAAGGAGAAGUGCAGACAGGAGCGCCUCGCGGUACCGCACCAACUCAAGCGCUGGUUCAGGCCCCAGGACUGGCGGUUCUUCCAAGGACGUGGCCUCCGCCUCCUCGUCCCCUUCGACAAGUAACUCGACCUGAAGGGGUACUCACUAAUACACCCAACGCUAGGGCGGCUGCUCGACGGCAGGUAGGGCCUCUGCGAGUUGCCGCGCGGGCAGCAGUCACAAGUGUUUAGUCACCGGUGGUUGCUGAAGUAACAACUUGAAAGUAGUCCUUUUCUCCAGCGGCUACAGGAAGGAUUGUAGCUUCUUUAUUCUUUCACACGGCCGUCUCCACACUAACAAUGUCGUGGCCGCGGACGACCUAGCCCAAUACUGAAGAAGUGUGCGAAGAAGACGGGUUUUAAACCCUAACUACUCCUAGGGCAUACACCGUCACGUGUGACACAAAACCGUGGGAUGACCCCACCUUUCGACCCCUUCGUUUUUGACUAUCGCAAAGUCCAUAGAGGUUCCUCACCCCGUGAUAUGGACCUCGACCUACAACGCUUAGUCGCUCACGCCUAAGUCCCUCUUCGACAAUGACAGUACCGACCCUGUGAGAAGCGAAUCGAUCGUAUAACUGGUAGGUAACUGAACGAGAUACUUGAACCCUCUUUAUUUAUAUAAACGACGAUAGGUGACCAGAUUAUUAGCUAACUGGCCAAAUACCUUAUUUUUACUUAAUAGACUUGUUACAGUGCGUUUUGUUC